AUGGAAAUCUCUGUAAUCUUUAGGUAGU
RNAcentral lists this transfer RNA (28 nucleotides) under Senegalia occidentalis. Its description in RNAcentral is "partial tRNA-His". Lineage: Eukaryota; Viridiplantae; Streptophyta; Magnoliopsida; Fabales; Fabaceae. The record is from RNAcentral.